Molecule: ribosomal RNA, 468 nt
Filed under: uncultured bacterium
Lineage: Bacteria
Description: partial 16S ribosomal RNA
Rfam family: Bacterial small subunit ribosomal RNA
Source: RNAcentral
GACGAACGCUGGCGGCGUGCUUAACACAUGCAAGUCGAACGGAAAGGCCCUGCUUUUGUGGGGUGCUCGAGUGGCGAACGGGUGAGUAACACGUGAGUAACCUGCCCUUGACUUUGGGAUAACUUCAGGAAACUGGGGCUAAUAUCGGAUAGGAGCUCCUGCUGCAUGGUGGGGGUUGGAAAGUUUCGGCGGUUGGGGAUGGACUCGCGGCUUAUCAGCUUGUUGGUGGGGUAGUGGCUUACCAAGGCUUUGACGGGUAGCCGGCCUGAGAGGGUGACCGGCCACAUUGGGACUGAGAUACGGCCCAGACUCCUACGGGAGGCAGCAGUGGGGAAUAUUGCACAAUGGGCGGAAGCCUGAUGCAGCAACGCCGCGUGCGGGAUGACGGCCUUCGGGUUGUAACCCGCUUUCGCCUGUGACGAAGCGUGAGUGACGGUAAUGGGUAAAGAAGCACCGGCUAACUACGUG